RNAcentral lists this ribosomal RNA (303 nucleotides) under uncultured bacterium. RNAcentral's name for it is "partial 16S ribosomal RNA". It matches the Rfam family "Bacterial small subunit ribosomal RNA", at positions 507 to 807 of the family's 1533-position model. The record is from RNAcentral.
AGCAGUCGCCACGGUAAUACGUAGGUGGCAAGCGUUGUCCGGAAGUAUUGGGCGUAAAGGGCUCGCAGGCGGUUUCUUAAGUCUGAUGUGAAAGCCCCCGGCUCAACCGGGGAGGGUCAUUGGAAACUGGGAAACUUGAGUGCAGAAGAGGAGAGUGGAAUUCCACGUGUAGCGGUGAAAUGCGUAGAGAUGUGGAGGAACACCAGUGGCGAAGGCGACUCUCUGGUCUGUAACUGACGCUGAGGAGCGAAAGCGUGGGGAGCGAACAGGAUUAGAUACCCCAGUAGUCCCUGUCUCUUAUAC